This is a long non-coding RNA of Halichondria panicea, 1585 nucleotides long. RefSeq lists it as uncharacterized. The record is from RefSeq and is a predicted model, not a curated record. The transcript has 4 exons. Lineage: Eukaryota; Metazoa; Porifera; Demospongiae; Suberitida; Halichondriidae.
CUCAUAAUUUUACAAAUUAACAAGCCUAUACUGCAUGUAUGUUUCUACAUCAGGGUCUCACAUCAGGGUCUCUGAAUUAACCCUUUCCCCGCUUUAGCCGACUAUAGUCGGCAUGGCUACUGAUAAAUUAAAAAAAAUCAUUGUGCACGCUGUGUUGGAGCUAUGCACACACUGCAGAUACCAGCACAUGUGCAUUGAGCUGCUCUUCCACAUGGUAUUUUUAAUAUUUUGCUUUGAGGUACGGUUCGAUCAGAAUUGUCGAAAGAAAAGUGACCGUUUUAUAAUUGCUACAAGAUCUUCGUAGUACAACCUCAGGGAGGUUCUAGGGAAGCUAGAGAGUGAGAAUAUCGAUGCCUAUGGCCUUGUAGAGUGAGAGAACAGUGACUGGGAUCAUAGCUAGGUAGGAAGCUUCCUUUCAGAGGUCAAGCUAAAAAGAAAGAGCCUGAGAAUCCUGAGGAAGACGCACUUGAGGUGGACCAUCUUCCUGAACCUGGUGAAGAAAAUAUUUCCCGGGAAAAGGGCAUCUGCCGAUAGAACCUCAAAUACAAGUUUCUGCAGAUCAUGAUUGAGUCCUGAGUGAGCCAUGUCACCGUGAGAACAUUCUGAACACUUAUAUCAUGUGUUCAGUCACUUCGUAACAUCAUACAAUAUUGUUUGUGUACAUAAUUGUGAAUUUUUGUUAACAAUUGUUAUUUGUGGGGUGGUGGUUGGUUGCUAGGCAACAAUGAUGAUUCCAUGAAUGCGACAGGUCCGGUUCUACCUGUAGAACUUUGUUACAAGUGUUUUUAAUAUACGGUUCAUGAGUUAUAAAUUUUUUAACCCUUUCCCGGCUUUGGACGACAUAUGUCGUCCAGCGGACCGAGAUUUUUCAAAAAUUUGCUGUGCGGGCUGUGUUGGAGCUAUGCACACACUGUAGGUACCAGCACAUGCGCAUUGAGCUGCUCUUUCACGUGGUAUUUUCAACAUCUUGCUUCGAGGUACGCUUUGUGCAGUAUACUGUCGAAAGAAAAGUGACCGUUUGAUGAUGACUUCAAGAUCUUCGUAGUACAACCUCAGUGGGCUGCUAGACAGUGAGAAUAUCGAUGCUUAUGACCUUGUAGAGUGAGAGGACAGUGACUGGGAUCGUAGCUAGGUAGGAAGCUACCUCAAGCUAAAAAAUAAAGAGCCUGAGGAGCCUGAAGGAGCUGGACCAAGUUUCUGGAUCUGGUGAAGAACGUUUCCCGGGAAAAGGGCGUCUGCUGAUACGACCUCGCAGAGAAGUUUCGGCAGAUCCUGAUCGAACUAUGUCACCGUGAGAACAUUGAAAACACUUACUUAGUGUCUAUAGUCACUUUGUGCCUUCGUAUAAUAAUAUUAUUGUUUGUGUACAUAAUUGUGAAUGUUUGUAAACAAUCGCUAAUUAGUUGGGGGUGGUCAGUUGCUAGGUAACGAUGAUGAUGUCAUGGUACCCCCGGGGUCUGGGCUACCUGUAGGAAAUAGUUACGAGUGAUUUCAAUGUACGGUUCAUAAGAUAUGGAUUUUUAAAGAAAAACAUGUAUUUAUUCUGUAUUAUUUUGUUUUAAUUAAAGCCGGGAAAGGGUUAAUU